CCUACGGGUGGCUGCAGUGGGGAAUAUUGGACAAUGGGCGAAAGCCUGAUCCAGCCAUGCCGCGUGUGUGAAGAAGGCCUUCGGGUUGUAAAGCACUUUCAGUGGGGAAGAAAGCCUUGGGGCUAAUACCCUCGAGGAAGGACAUCACCCACAGAAGAAGCACCGGCUAACUCCGUGCCAGCAGCCGCGGUAAUACGGAGGGUGCGAGCGUUAAUCGGAAUUACUGGGCGUAAAGCGCGCGUAGGCGGUCUGAUAAGCCGGUUGUGAAAGCCCCGGGCUCAACCUGGGAACGGCAUCCGGAACUGUCAGGCUAGAGUGCAGGAGAGGAAGGUAGAAUUCCCGGUGUAGCGGUGAAAUGCGUAGAGAUCGGGAGGAAUACCAGUGGCGAAGGCGGCCUUCUGGACUGACACUGACGCUGAGGUGCGAAAGCGUGGGCAGCAAACAGGAUUAGAUACCCCAGUAGUC
RNAcentral lists this ribosomal RNA (465 nucleotides) under Vreelandella stevensii. Its description in RNAcentral is "partial 16S ribosomal RNA". It matches the Rfam family "Bacterial small subunit ribosomal RNA", at positions 338 to 795 of the family's 1533-position model. Lineage: Bacteria; Pseudomonadati; Pseudomonadota; Gammaproteobacteria; Oceanospirillales; Halomonadaceae. The record is from RNAcentral.